CGAACGCUGGCGGCGUGCCUAAUACAUGCAAGUAGAACGCUGAAGAGAGGAGCUUGCUCUUCUUGGAUGAGUUGCGAACGGGUGAGUAACGCGUAGGUAACCUGCCUUGUAGCGGGGGAUAACUAUUGGAAACGAUAGCUAAUACCGCAUAACAAUGGAUGACACAUGUCAUUUAUUUGAAAGGGGCAAUUGCUCCACUACAAGAUGGACCUGCGUUGUAUUAGCUAGUAGGUGAGGUAACGGCUCACCUAGGCGACGAUACAUAGCCGACCUGAGAGGGUGAUCGGCCACACUGGGACUGAGACACGGCCCAGACUCCUACGGGAGGCAGCAGUAGGGAAUCUUCGGCAAUGGGGGCAACCCUGACCGAGCAACGCCGCGUGAGUGAAGAAGGUUUUCGGAUCGUAAAGCUCUGUUGUAAGUCAAGAACGAGUGUGAGAGUGGAAAAUUCACACUGUGACGGUAGCUUACCAGAAAGGGACGGCUAACUACGUGCCAGCAGCCGCGGUAAUACGUAGGUCCCGAGCGUUGUCCGGAUUUAUUGGGCGUAAAGCGAGCGCAGGCGGUUUGAUAAGUCUGAAGUUAAAGGCUGUGGCUCAACCAUAGUUCGCUUUGGAAACUGUCAAACUUGAGUGCAGAAGGGGAGAGUGGAAUUCCAUGUGUAGCGGUGAAAUGCGUAGAUAUAUGGAGGAACACCGGUGGCGAAAGCGGCUCUCUGGUCUGUAACUGACGCUGAGGCUCGAAAGCGUGGGAGCGAACAGG
This 762-nucleotide ribosomal RNA is filed under the name uncultured Bacilli bacterium. Its description in RNAcentral is "bacterial SSU rRNA". It matches the Rfam family "Bacterial small subunit ribosomal RNA", at positions 30 to 776 of the family's 1533-position model. Lineage: Bacteria; Bacillati; Bacillota; Bacilli. The record is from RNAcentral.